UACGGAGGAUGCAAGCGUUAUCCGGAAUUAUUGGGCGUAAAGCGUCCGCAGGUGGCACUUCAAGUCUGUCGUCAAAGACCGGGGCUUAACCCUGGAAAGGCGAUGGAAACUGAAAGGCUAGAGAGAGGUAGGGGUAGAGGGAAUUCCCAGUGUAGCGGUGAAAUGCGUAGAGAUUGGGAAGAACAUCGGUGGCGAAAGCGCUCUACUAGGCCGUAACUGACACUGAGGGACGAAAGCUAGGGGAGCGAAUGGG
This 253-nucleotide ribosomal RNA is filed under the name uncultured bacterium. Its description in RNAcentral is "partial 16S ribosomal RNA". It matches the Rfam family "Bacterial small subunit ribosomal RNA", at positions 524 to 776 of the family's 1533-position model. The record is from RNAcentral.